Molecule: RNA transcript, 1171 nt
Organism: Quercus lobata
Lineage: Eukaryota; Viridiplantae; Streptophyta; Magnoliopsida; Fagales; Fagaceae
Gene name: pentatricopeptide repeat-containing protein At4g31850, chloroplastic-like
Exons: 2
Source: RefSeq, a predicted model, not a curated record
UUUUUUUUUUAAUUUUUUUUUUCCGACCACCUUGGCAGUAAGAACACCAAUUUCAGUGUUGGUUUGUGCUAUUUUUUUGAGUUGGUUUCCUAUUUUAGAGUUGGUUUCUCUAAAAUUUAGAAUUUGAAAGAAGCCUGGUGAGUUUGCUCAGAGUUUCAGUUGCAGAUAUUUUAUCUGUAUGAUGUUCACCAUAAAUUGAAGUUGUAAUAAAAACAGCCUUCCUAAUUAGAUCAUCUUCUGUAUCAAAAUUGUGUCCCUCUUUUAGCAUUAGUUUCUAGUUUCUACUUUCUAGUAGUGUGGCUCUGCAUAGUCCCUUGAGAAUUCUUCUGUCUUUUAUAAAUUUUAAUAUCAAAGCCCUCUGUUCUGCAUCAAUUAUUUUCUUUCAAAUAAGAGUAUUUGGCAAAGCCCUCUAAUUUUCUACUUUCUAUCAAAGCCCUCUGAUUUGUGGACUUUUAAGGGUAAGUAGGUUGGAUGAGGCAUUGAAGCUUUUCAGUGAUAUGGGAUCUUUGGGAGUUGAACCUACUGCUUAUACAUAUAUCCUUUUCAUUGACUACUAUGGAAAGUCAGCCUUGCUGAAAUGGGUAGGCUUGGAGAAGCAACAGAUAUAUUUAAUGGGCUUAAAAAUAGUGGGAUUGCUCCAGAUUCAGUAACUUAUAACAUGAUGAUGAAGUGCCACAGUAAGCUGGGCCAAGUAGAUGAAGCCAUUAAAUUACUCUCUGAGAUGAUGGAAAACGAAUGUGAACCAGAUGUUAUUGUAAUUAAUUCUUUGAUUGACACACUUUACAAGGCUAACCGGGUUGAGGAAGCAUGGCAAAUGUUUUGCAGAAUAAAGGACAUGAAGCUUGCUCCUACAGUUGUGACCUACAAUACAUUAUUAGAUGGGCUAGGGAAGAAGGGUGAAGUCCAAAAAGCCAUGGAGUUGUUUGAGAGCAUGACUAGGCAUGGGUGUCCUCCAAACACAAUAACUUUCAACAUACUCCUGGAUUGUCUUGGCAAGAAUGAAGAGGAUGAUUUGGCCUUGAAAAUGCAUUUUGAGAUGAAAAAUUGAAAAAUUGUAGUGAUGAGCUGUUAUUAUUGUGAUUAACAAUGUAGUUGGGAUUAAGACCGAAAGUAUAGAUGAAAACUGUGGAACACCCUUUGAUAAGAUCAAUAUAAUUGUCUUUAUUUCCAA